AGCGAACGCUGGCGGCAGGCCUAACACAUGCAAGUCGAACGAACUCUUCGGAGUUAGUGGCGGACGGGUGAGUAGCACGUGGGAACGUGCCUUUUGGUUCGGAAUAACUCAGGGGAACUUGUGCUAAUACCGAAUGUGCCCUUCGGGGGAAAGAUUUAUCGCCAUUAGAGCGGCCCGCGUCUGAUUAGCUAGUUGGUGAGGUAACGGCUCACCAAGGCGACGAUCAGUAGCUGGUCUGAGAGGAUGACCAGCCACACUGGGACUGAGACACGGCCCAGACUCCUACGGGAGGCAGCAGUGGGAAAUCUUGCGCAAUGGGCGAAAGCCUGACGCAGCCAUGCCGCGUGAAUGAUGAAGGUCUUAGGAUUGUAAAAUUCUUUCACCGGGGACGAUAAUGACGGUACCCGGAGAAGAAGCCCCGGCUAACUUCGUG
This 433-nucleotide ribosomal RNA is filed under the name uncultured bacterium. RNAcentral describes it as "partial 16S ribosomal RNA". It matches the Rfam family "Bacterial small subunit ribosomal RNA", at positions 29 to 507 of the family's 1533-position model. The record is from RNAcentral.